GCUGAUAGGGCUGCUAAGCAGGCCACUGUGAUAUAGUGGUUGUAUAGAUAAUUCUUUCGUCGGUA
Molecule: transfer RNA, 65 nt
Filed under: Haematoloechus sp. CW13H
Lineage: Eukaryota; Metazoa; Platyhelminthes; Trematoda; Plagiorchiida; Haematoloechidae
Description: tRNA-Ile
Source: RNAcentral